Molecule: ribosomal RNA, 479 nt
Filed under: uncultured bacterium
Lineage: Bacteria
Description: bacterial SSU rRNA
Rfam family: Bacterial small subunit ribosomal RNA
Source: RNAcentral
UUGAACGCUGGCGGUAUGCUUAACACAUGCAAGUCGAACGGUAGCAGGCCUUCGGGCGCUGACGAGUGGCGGACGGGUGAGUAACGCGUAGGAAUCUGCCUCAUAGUGGGGGACAACGUGGGGAAACCCACGCUAAUACCGCAUACGCCCUACGGGGGAAAGCGGGGGCUCUUCGGACCUCGCGCUAUGAGAUGAGCCUGCGUUAGAUUAGCUAGUUGGUAGGGUAAAGGCCUACCAAGGCGACGAUCUAUAGCUGGUCUGAGAGGACGAUCAGCCACACUGGGACUGAGACACGGCCCAGACUCCUACGGGAGGCAGCAGUGGGGAAUAUUGGACAAUGGGCGGAAGCCUGAUCCAGCAAUACCGCGUGUGUGAAGAAGGCCUUAGGGUUGUAAAGCACUUUCAAUUGGGAGGAAAACCUGCCGGUCAAUACCCGGUAGCUUGACAUUACCUUUAGAAGAAGCACCGGCUAACUCCGU